This 876-nucleotide ribosomal RNA is filed under the name uncultured organism. RNAcentral describes it as "bacterial SSU rRNA". It matches the Rfam family "Bacterial small subunit ribosomal RNA", at positions 19 to 878 of the family's 1533-position model. The record is from RNAcentral.
CUGGCUCAGAACGAACGCUGGCGGCGCGUUUUAAGCAUGCAAGUCGAACGGUAUGCAUGGUGCUUGCACUGUGCUGAGAGUGGCGAACUGGUGAGUAACACGUAGGUGAUCUACCUUGAGGCCUGGGAUAGCCUGUGGAAACACAGGGUAAGACCGGAUGAGCCCCUGUACUUGCGGGUAGAGGGGGAAAGGUGCUAUGGCACCGCCUUAAGAUGAGCCUGCGUCCCAUUAGUUAGUUGGUGGGGUAAAGGCCUACCAAGGCGACGAUGGGUAGCCGGCCUGAGAGGGUGAUCGGCCACACUGGGACUGAGACACGGCCCAGACUCCUACGGGAGGCAGCAGCUAAGAAUCUUCCGCAAUGGACGAAAGUCUGACGGAGCGACGCCGCGUGAACGAAGAAGGCCGGAAGGUUGUAAAGUUCUUUUGCGGGUGAAGAAUAAGGCGAGGAGGGAAUGCCUCGCUGAUGACGUUAGCCUGUGAAUAAGCCCCGGCUAAUUACGUGCCAGCAGCCGCGGUAGCACGUAAGGGGCGAGCGUUGUUCGGAAUUAUUGGGCGUAAAGGGCGUGUAGGCUGUUUUGUAAGCCUGGUGUGAAAGUGCACGGCUUAACUGUGUAUGUGCGCUGGGAACUGCAAGACUAGAGUCCGGAAGGGGGAGGUAGAAUUCCUGGUGUAGGGGUGAAAUCUGUAGAUAUCAGGAAGAGUACCGGUGGCGAAGGCGACCUCCUGGUCCUGGACUGACGCUGAGGCGCGAAAGCGUGGGGAGCGAACAGGAUUAGAUACCCUGGUAGUCCACGCUGUAAACUGAUGUCGCACUAGGGUGCUUGGGGCAAGAGCUUCAGUGCCGAAGCGAACGCGACUAAGUGCACCGCACUGGGG